UACGAAGGGUGCAAGCGUUACUCGGAAUCACUGGGCGUAAAGCGUGCGUAGGCGGUUUCUUAAGUCUGUCGUGAAAGCCCUGGGCUCAACCUGGGAACGGCGAUGGAUACUGGGAAGCUAGAAUGUGAGAGAGGAUGGUGGAAUUCCCGGUGUAGCGGUGAAAUGCGUAGAUAUCAGGAGGAACACCGGUGGUGUAGACGGCUCACUGGACCGUAACUGACGCUGAGACACGAAAGCGUGGGUAGCAAACAGG
RNAcentral lists this ribosomal RNA (253 nucleotides) under uncultured bacterium. Its description in RNAcentral is "partial 16S ribosomal RNA". It matches the Rfam family "Bacterial small subunit ribosomal RNA", at positions 524 to 776 of the family's 1533-position model. The record is from RNAcentral.